Macrobrachium nipponense is the source of this 1422-nucleotide long non-coding RNA. RefSeq lists it as uncharacterized. The record is from RefSeq and is a predicted model, not a curated record. NCBI's taxonomy places the organism in Eukaryota, Metazoa, Arthropoda, Malacostraca, Decapoda, Palaemonidae. The transcript is spliced from 3 exons.
CUCAUGCUUGCUCACUCACUCCACCUAUAUUUGUCGCUUCAGCGCAGCAGCGUCUAACGUCCAUCACACCUUGUCGGUGUUCCCCCUCCGAGCUAUUCAAGAAACCCAUUACUUUCGAUAUCUCCAGCUCAUUUCGUCUUUUACAAUUCCAUGUUUUUAUUUUGGGUAAUGAACCAAUUGUAAACAUCUGAAAAAAAUAUAUAAUGGCGUAUGAAAUACUGUCAUCUGAGUAUUAUUUAACCUUCCACAAAACAUCCACCAGAACGAUCUCAUAAUUGUAAGACCUUGAAACCCCGAACAUGAGGUGUAGAAGGAAAUAGCAAGGUGGGGGUUAAAGGUAAUGGGGACAGGUGAUAUUAGGUGACCUUCAUGUAAUGCUUGACGGGGGUCUCUUAUCAACAUUUGUAAGGUGGUGAUAGUAGUACCUUUACUGAUAACAGUUAAUAUCAGUGGUUCAAACUCGCCAUGAUGGCUGGUACAUAGCAUUAUAGGGUUACUGAGAUCAUCUUUGUAUAUCUGGUUAAUGUCUGUUACUAUCGUUUAAGUUAUGAAUCCUGGUUCUCCCACGAAGUAACGCGCCACACACAGCCAUGGACGGUCUGUAUAACGCCAGUGGUCUUAACAGUCGUGUGUUUGCAGCCUUUGUGGAGGUUUAUUUGGUAAUUACGAUUAUCUACACUUAGGAUGGCGGCGGCAUACAGAGACAACUCUGUUGAGCAUAUACCUCAAGGCUGCAAACACGACUGUCAAGACCACUGGCGCUAUACAGAUUGUCCAUGGCUGUGUGUGGCGCGUUACUUCGUGGGAAAACCAGGUCUAAAGACUGUCACCCAAUAAUCUGAGACACUGAAUAAUGUUAAUAUUAUACGGUUUUGCAACACCUACAUCCUUUAUAACCCACCAUCACUAGAUCAAUACACCGAUGCACACAUUCAGUGCAUUUCAUUUCACACAAUUUAUUUUCACUAAGAGUUUCGGAAACAGCAUAAGUAGCCUAGAUGGUUGCGAGGGGCGGAGCCAAGUGACCCAUCACACUCAAAUACUGGUAACUCAACUAAGUUAUACCAUAAAUACAAAUCCUGUAGUACUAGAUUAUCAUAUCCAGUAAUGCAUUCUUUGUAUAGAUUAAUUAAUAAAAUAAUACCCUUCCAAAAUUGAUGCUUUCAUAACUCAUACAACCCACGGCUACAAAACCUGGUGUGAAACAUCUUUGUGACUAGAUUCAUAUAUUAUUGGUAAUACAGAGCACCUUUCACGGCAAGAAGGGCAUGAGCUCUCCAAGCCAGGCUUGGCGGGGCGACGCUGGUUUUGUUGCUGGCUGUACAUCAAUACCGACAACAUAAUUCGGCUCCAAUAAGAAAAAAGGUAUUAAUUAGUAAAGAGGUGUGGAAAGGCGCGAAGUUUAGGUGAUUUCUUUAAACG